CUUCUUCAGGUAAGAAGCGUGCUGCCUUCUCACGGGGAAGAGCCUGACAAGCCAUAAUACCCACCUCUCCAACAAUAAAGACUGGCCCGUGGAGAAGUCUGGGACGCCAGCGUAACCAGCAAGAGACCUCCCUGCGAUUGCUGUGUGAUGAUGCUGCAUUCCUGCUGGUCAGCUAAGUAGGAACCAGGCUAUGGCUACAGGAGAUAACAGGGUUCAGAGAAGGAAAGAGAUUUGCUGCCAGCUGGCGAGCAGGAACACCAGGACUGGAUCCCAGUGCUCCUGACCCGUGGUCUAGUCCUCUCUCUUUCCCAACAUGCAGCUUCUUAGAAAGCUCCUCCCAGACCUCCUUCUCACAAGCCCACUAAUGACCUGUCUGAGCUGAGAGCAGAUGGUCUGGGAGCAUCGAAUUCUGAAGGCUGAGCUGCCACAAGUCAGACUGUCUUCUU
Cervus elaphus (red deer) is the source of this 446-nucleotide long non-coding RNA. RefSeq lists it as uncharacterized. The record is from RefSeq and is a predicted model, not a curated record. The transcript has 3 exons. Lineage: Eukaryota; Metazoa; Chordata; Mammalia; Artiodactyla; Cervidae.